RNAcentral lists this ribosomal RNA (860 nucleotides) under uncultured Lysobacter sp. RNAcentral describes it as "bacterial SSU rRNA". It matches the Rfam family "Bacterial small subunit ribosomal RNA", at positions 28 to 875 of the family's 1533-position model. The record is from RNAcentral. Lineage: Bacteria; Pseudomonadati; Pseudomonadota; Gammaproteobacteria; Lysobacterales; Lysobacteraceae.
AGUGAACGCUGGCGGCAGGCCUAACACAUGCAAGUCGAACGGCAGCACAGAGGAGCUUGCUCCUUGGGUGGCGAGUGGCGGACGGGUGAGGAAUACGUCGGAAUCUGCCUAUUUGUGGGGGAUAACGUAGGGAAACUUACGCUAAUACCGCAUACGACCUACGGGUGAAAGUGGGGGACCGCAAGGCCUCACGCAGAUAGAUGAGCCGACGUCGGAUUAGCUAGUUGGCGGGGUAAAGGCCCACCAAGGCGACGAUCCGUAGCUGGUCUGAGAGGAUGAUCAGCCACACUGGAACUGAGACACGGUCCAGACUCCUACGGGAGGCAGCAGUGGGGAAUAUUGGACAAUGGGCGCAAGCCUGAUCCAGCCAUGCCGCGUGUGUGAAGAAGGCCUUCGGGUUGUAAAGCACUUUUGUCCGGAAAGAAAAGCUUAGGGUUAAUAACCCUGAGUCAUGACGGUACCGGAAGAAUAAGCACCGGCUAACUUCGUGCCAGCAGCCGCGGUAAUACGAAGGGUGCAAGCGUUACUCGGAAUUACUGGGCGUAAAGCGUGCGUAGGUGGUUUGUUAAGUCUGAUGUGAAAGCCCUGGGCUCAACCUGGGAAUGGCAUUGGAAACUGGCUUACUAGAGUGCGGUAGAGGGUAGCGGAAUUCCCGGUGUAGCAGUGAAAUGCGUAGAUAUCGGGAGGAACAUCCGUGGCGAAGGCGGCUACCUGGACCAGCACUGACACUGAGGCACGAAAGCGUGGGGAGCAAACAGGGAUUAGAUACCCUGGUAGUCCACGCCCUAAACGAUGCGAACUGGAUGUUGGGGGCAACUUGGCCCUCAGUAUCGAAGCUAACGCGUUAAGUUCGCCGCCUA